Non-coding RNA from Cinara cedri, 203 nucleotides. NCBI's taxonomy places the organism in Eukaryota, Metazoa, Arthropoda, Insecta, Hemiptera, Aphididae. The record is from the annotation of a GenBank genome assembly.
UGAAUAUUAACCUCAUUCCCUUGUUUGUGUUAUAUUGUCGUCUACUUGUGGCAUAUAAAAAUCCUGUACUCGCUGUUUUAAAAAUAAUUAAAGAGUUCAAGGAAGUGUCCAUUUUUUUUUUUUGCUCAGUAUUUUCACUAUUUAUUUUUGGUAUAUUAAAUAUUUUUAAGUGUUUUUAAUGCUAUAGUGAAGAUGCAUAAACG